CUAAGAAUCUUGCGCAAUGGGCGAAAGCCUGACGCAGCAAUUCCGCGUGGGGGACGAAGGCCCUCGGGUCGUAAACCCCUUUUGCGAGGGAAGAAGUUCUGACGGUACCUCGCGAAUAAGACACGGCUAACUACGUGCCAGCAGCCGCGGUAAUACGUAGGUGUCGAGCGUUGUCCGGAUUUAUUGGGCGUAAAGCGCCCGCAGGCGGCUUGGCAAGUUCGAGGUGAAAUCUCCCGGCUCAACUGGGAGG
Molecule: ribosomal RNA, 250 nt
Filed under: uncultured bacterium
Lineage: Bacteria
Description: partial 16S ribosomal RNA
Rfam family: Bacterial small subunit ribosomal RNA
Source: RNAcentral